UUAGGUUUGAUCCUGCUCAGGGUGAACGUGGGCGGCGUGCCUAAUACAUGCAAGUCGAACGAAGACUGUAGUAAUACUGUCUUAGUGGCGAACGGGUGAGUAACGCGUGGGUGACCUGCCCCGAAGUGUGGGAUAACAGUCCGAAAGGAUUGCUAAUACUGCGUAAUAUCCAAGAGAUUAGACGCUUUUGGAUUAAAGGAGUAAUUCGCUUCGGGAGGGGCCCGCGUCCCAUCAGCUAGUUGGUAAGGUAAUGGCUUACCAAGGCGAUGACGGGUAGGGGACCUGAGAGGGUGGCCCCCCACAAUGGAACUGAAACACGGUCCAUACACCUACGGGUGGCAGCAGUAGGGAAUAUUAGUAAUGGGCGAAAGCCUGAACUAGCAACGCCGCGUGUGCGAAGAAGGCCUUCGGGUCGUAAAGCACUUUUUGAGAGGAUGAGGAAGGACGGUACUCUCAGAAUAAGUCUCGGCUAACUACGUGCCAGCAGCCGCGGUAACACGUAGGAGGCAAACGUUAUCCGGAUUUACUGGGCGUAAAGCGCGUGUAGGUGGUUUGGUAUGUAGGGCGUGAAAGCUCCUGGCUCAACUGGGAGAGGACGUUCUAAACUGCCAAGCUUGAGGAUGGUAGAGGGAGGUGGAAUUCCGGGUGUAGCGGUGGAAUGCGCAGAUAUCCGGAGGAACACCAGUGGCGAAGGCGGCCUCCUGGACCACUCCUGACACUCAGACGCGAAAGCUAGGGUAGCAAACGGGAUUAGAGACCCCGGUAGUCCUAGCCCUAAACGAUGUAGACUUGGCGUCGGUGGUUUAAUCGCCGUCGGUGUCGUAGCUAACGCGAUAAGUCUACCGCCUGGGGA
Molecule: ribosomal RNA, 853 nt
Filed under: uncultured Chloroflexota bacterium
Lineage: Bacteria; Bacillati; Chloroflexota
Description: bacterial SSU rRNA
Rfam family: Bacterial small subunit ribosomal RNA
Source: RNAcentral